GAUGAACGCUGGCGGCGUGCCUAAUACAUGCAAGUCGAGCGAACAGACGAGGAGCUUGCUCCUCUGACGUUAGCGGCGGACGGGUGAGUAACACGUGGAUAACCUACCUAUAAGACUGGGAUAACUUCGGGAAACCGGAGCUAAUACCGGAUAAUAUAUAGAACCGCAUGGUUCAAUAGUGAAAGACGGUUUUGCUGUCACUUAUAGAUGGAUCCGCGCCGCAUUAGCUAGUUGGUAAGGUAACGGCUUACCAAGGCGACGAUGCGUAGCCGACCUGAGAGGUUGAUCGGCACCACUGGAACUGAGACACGGUCCAGACUCCUACGGGAGGCAGCAGUAGGGAAUCUUCCGCAAUGGGCGAAAGCCUGACGGAGCAACGCCGCGUGAGUGAUGAAGGUCUUCGGAUCGUAAAACUCUGUUAUUGGGGAAAAACAAAUGUGUAAGUAACUAUGCACGUCUUGACGGUACCUAAUCAGAAGGCCACGGCUACCUACUU
Molecule: ribosomal RNA, 496 nt
Filed under: uncultured bacterium
Lineage: Bacteria
Description: partial 16S ribosomal RNA
Rfam family: Bacterial small subunit ribosomal RNA
Source: RNAcentral